GUAAGGAAUAUUGGUCAAUGGACGAAAGUCUGAACCAGCCAUGCCGCGUGAAGGAUGAAUGCCCUCUGGGUUGUAAACUUCUUUUAUCUGGGACGAAAAAAGGUCAUUCUUGACCACUUGACGGUACCAGAGGAAUAAGCACCGGCUAACUCCGUGCCAGCAGCCGCGGUAAUACGGAGGGUGCAAGCGUUAUCCGGAUUCACUGGGUUUAAAGGGUGCGUAGGUGGGCGUAUAAGUCAGUGGUGAAAUCUUCGAGCUUAACUCGGAAACUGCCAUUGAUACUAUAUGUCUUGAAUGACCUGGAGGUAAGCGGAAUAUGUCAUGUAGCGGUGAAAUGCUUAGAUAUGACAUAGAACACCAAUUGCGAAGGCAGCUUACUACGGGGUGAUUGACGCUGAGGCACGAAAGCGUGGGGAUCAAACAGGAUUAGAAACCCCAGUAGUCC
This 445-nucleotide ribosomal RNA is filed under the name uncultured bacterium. RNAcentral describes it as "partial 16S ribosomal RNA". It matches the Rfam family "Bacterial small subunit ribosomal RNA", at positions 354 to 796 of the family's 1533-position model. The record is from RNAcentral.